GGGGAUGUAGCUCAGUGGCAGAGUGCUUGCCUAGCAUGCACAAGGCCCUGGGUUCAAGGCUCAGUACUGCCA
Molecule: transfer RNA, 72 nt
Filed under: Heterocephalus glaber (naked mole-rat)
Lineage: Eukaryota; Metazoa; Chordata; Mammalia; Rodentia; Bathyergidae
Rfam family: tRNA
About the family: Transfer RNA (tRNA) molecules are approximately 80 nucleotides in length.
Source: Rfam by way of RNAcentral